GAAUAAACCAUGAAGGAACAGAGAAAGCACAAGUCACAGCACUCAAGUGCCUAAGUAUAAACCGGUGUGAGUAAUUAGGGGAAUUAAUUCUGAGGACCGAGCCGCAGCUGAGUGGGUUUCCCCUCUUUAUACAGGUAAAUGGGACAGGAGCACAGCGUGCACCCACUGAGGAGGCUUCGCUUCAUUGCGACACUGGGUGACCAGCCGAGAGGACGCCAGCCCUGCUGCUCUGGGCACAACCACCUUUAUACGGGGCCAGGCCUGUCCCCCGCAGGAUAACAGACAUCCCCACUCUUCCGCGAGACCAGAGAAAGCAGCACACAGAAGCACCAGGAGAGGAGGGGAAGUAAAGGAGCUGCUCACCUGCAAGCAAACACACAGCAGACCCUUUCCAAUGCUGAGCAGAACUGAACUGGAUGGAAAUGCAAAAAGGAAUGGAAGAGAAGGAAACAUCCAAAUGAAGGUCUCUCACCAGCUUCAUCACCCUCCUCUGGACACAUUCCAGCACCUCAACAUCUCUCUUGAAUCGAGGGGCCCAGAACUGGACACAGUACUCAAGGUGUGGCCUGACCAGUGCUGAGUACAGAGGAAGAAUAACUUCCCUCUAUGGCAACAUUACAGCACUGUGGAUGGCUAUGGAAAGACAAGAAGACAGAAGCAAAACAAAGCUCUUCGAAGAAUGAGACAAACCCAGUGAUUAAACAGAGGUUCUUCCAUCUCUUGAUAGAUGGCAAACUUCGAAUGGCCAAUGUCCCAGUGGAAAGCAAGUUGACAUAAGAGAGAGAGUGUUUUCUUCUGAAUUGCACCCCUGAUGAGCCAGAAGACCAGCAUCUAGACAUCUGACUACCUGUAAAUCCUCUCACUGAUAGAACACUUCCCAGAGAACAGAGCAAGUAUGAACAGGAAGGAAGUACUGCACGAAAUGAGGAGCAUACUUUGGCAAUCCUGGAG
Molecule: long non-coding RNA, 951 nt
Organism: Pogoniulus pusillus (Red-fronted tinkerbird)
Lineage: Eukaryota; Metazoa; Chordata; Aves; Piciformes; Lybiidae
Exons: 6
Source: RefSeq, a predicted model, not a curated record